AUCAAAGUAUCUUUAAGAAUUUUUUGAUUUACUUCUCUACUUACAUCUGAAUUCUUUGAACCUUUCAAUAAUUUUAGAUUUGUAUCUCAUAUGCUUACCCAUACCAUGAUUGAUCAUCGAUAAAGAUAACAAAGUAGAGACAACUCCUUGGUUAGCACAUCAUAUGGGCUACACACAUCAAAUGUGUACAAGGAUAAAUAUCUCAGUGGUCCUUUUCUCUUGUCCCACAACAGUAGUUCGGUCAUAUUUUCUCAAAAAGAUGAUAUACAAACUAGAUUUAACUCAACAGUCAAUGAGCCUAAAAGCCCAUAAUUCUCUAG
This 320-nucleotide long non-coding RNA is filed under the name Elaeis guineensis (African oil palm). RNAcentral's name for it is "long non-coding RNA (EGUI_LNC052168)". The record is from RNAcentral. Lineage: Eukaryota; Viridiplantae; Streptophyta; Magnoliopsida; Arecales; Arecaceae.